This 628-nucleotide long non-coding RNA is filed under the name Pan troglodytes (chimpanzee). RNAcentral describes it as "long non-coding RNA NONPTRT005174". Lineage: Eukaryota; Metazoa; Chordata; Mammalia; Primates; Hominidae. The record is from RNAcentral.
CCAUGAAAGGUAAUCUCACUCUUCUUUUAAUUAUUUUUAGAUCCGUUGGCUGAAUGCCUUUUAGUCUGCAUACAUGCAUCUCAUACCGCACAGCCCAAAUUUCUACAACUUGUCCAGGUGCAGUCUCCUCAGAACUACAAAGCAAGAAAAGAUCACCUUUGGGCUCAGGAACUCACAGUCGUUCUCCCUCUCCCGGAAGGCACAAUGACCAGGACAGUACCGAGCUUUGCAGCCAUAUUGAACUCACCAUCAACUCAGCACAUUCAACUCAAUCAGUCAAAAUCGCCUUUUCCUGCUGGUAAAUAACACUGAAAUUGUGGGAAGAUGGGAUGGUAAGAACAAAGUCUGUCUCUGGAAGCACGGGUGCUGUCUCUGAAGACAAAUUGAUCGUAACACAAGCAGACCCGGUGGAACGACCUCCAUGCUGAACCCUCAGCUCCCCCUGCAUUUGGACCAUGGCCUGAUGGAAGAUAAAGAGACUGAUCUCAGAGUGGUACAGAUCUACAACCACGUGAAGAAUUGGAUUUAUAUUCAUCUGACUCCAGAAAGUUCCUGAGAUUCCUCUGCUUCAUCAUCUUUCCCAUGCCCUUUAAAACACGUUAUCAAAUAGCAACAGGUGGUGCAAUAA